Molecule: long non-coding RNA, 506 nt
Organism: Folsomia candida
Lineage: Eukaryota; Metazoa; Arthropoda; Collembola; Entomobryomorpha; Isotomidae
Exons: 2
Source: RefSeq, a predicted model, not a curated record
GUAAUAUCUACAUAUUUGCAAGAAUUUAGUGCAUAAAAGUCAUCGCUUUCUUAAGAGGAGCGUUACUUCAACACUGCCUUCGCUCCAGCCAAUACCUGAAUUUAACUCUUUACAUCCAUCCCAAUUUACUACAUAUAUACAAAGAUGCGUGUACUUUUCGCUGUCAUGCUAAUUUUUGGAGUGAUGAUUGUACCGAAGUUGGCAAUGCCACAGAUUGGAAAUCCUCAGGGGAGUUUUGCUUGUGUCUCCAUCGCCUCGAAAUGUUCUGGACGAAACCCUUACGUCGAGUGUGGUGGUAAUCGGGUAUGCAAAUCACUCGCCGGUUGCGGUUGGCGAUGCCAAGGGGGAUUGCUCGAUAUCACUGUAGCAAUUUAAAUUGAAAAAAUGUCUCUUAUCUGGAUUGACCUUAAAAUUUAGUACGAAUUUGAUUUAAUUAUGUGCUAUAUUGACGAAUUGUUUGAUAAAUUCAAUAAAUAAUUGCUUGAAUGAAUUUAGUCAAUACAAAA